This 490-nucleotide ribosomal RNA is filed under the name uncultured bacterium. Its description in RNAcentral is "partial 16S ribosomal RNA". It matches the Rfam family "Bacterial small subunit ribosomal RNA", at positions 30 to 507 of the family's 1533-position model. The record is from RNAcentral.
AUUGAACGCUGGCGGCAGGCCUAACACAUGCAAGUCGAACGGUAACAGGAAGCAGCUUGCUGCUUCGCUGACGAGUGGCGGACGGGUGAGUAAUGUCUGGGAAACUGCCUGAUGGAGGGGGAUAACUACUGGAAACGGUAGCUAAUACCGCAUAACGUCGCAAGACCAAAGAGGGGGACCUUAGGGCCUCUUGCCAUCGGAUGUGCCCAGAUGGGAUUAGCUAGUAGGUGGGGUAACGGCUCACCUAGGCGACGAUCCCUAGCUGGUCUGAGAGGAUGACCAGCCACACUGGAACUGAGACACGGUCCAGACUCCUACGGGAGGCAGCAGUGGGGAAUAUUGCACAAUGGGCGCAAGCCUGAUGCAGCCAUGCCGCGUGUAUGGAGAAGGCCUUCGGGUUGUAAAGUACUUUCAGCGGGGAGGAAGGGAGUAAAGUUAAUACCUUUGCUCAUUGACGUUACCCGCAGAAGAAGCGCCGGCUAACUCCGUG